RNAcentral lists this ribosomal RNA (740 nucleotides) under uncultured crenarchaeote KBSCul9. Its description in RNAcentral is "bacterial SSU rRNA". It matches the Rfam family "Archaeal small subunit ribosomal RNA", at positions 114 to 859 of the family's 1478-position model. The record is from RNAcentral. Lineage: Archaea; Thermoproteati; Thermoproteota.
CAGGGGACGUGGAUAACCUCGGGAAACUGAGGAUAAACCGCGAUAGGUCACUACUUCUGGAAUGGGUAAUGACUUAAAUCUACAUGGCCCCUGGAUUGGACUACGGCCGAUCAGGCUGUUGGUGAGGUAAUGGCCCACCAAACCUGUAACCGGUACGGGCUUUGAGAGAAGGAGCCCGGAGAUGGGCACUGAGACAAGGGCCCAGGCCCUAUGGGGCGCAGCAGGCGCGAAACUCUGCAAUAGGCGAAAGCUUGACAGGGUUAMUYYKGAGUGAUGCCCGCUAAGGGCAUCUUUUGGCACCUCUAAAAAUGGUGCAGAAUAAGGGGUGGGCAAGUCUGGUGUCAGCCGCCGCGGUAAUACCAGCACCCCGAGUGGUCGGGACGAUUAUUGGGCCUAAAGCAUCCGUAGCUUGUUCUGCAAGUCCUCCGUUAAAUCCACCUGCUCAACAGAUGGGCUGCGGGGGAUACUACAGGGCUAGGAGGCGGGAGAGGCAAACGGUACUCAGUGGGUAGGGGUAAAAUCCUCUGAUCCACUGAAGACCACCAGUGGCGAAGGCGGUUUGCCAGAACGCGCUCGACGGUGAGGGAUGAAAGCUGGGGGAGCAAACCGGAUUAGAUACCCGGGUAGUCCCAGCUGUAAACGAUGCAGACUCGGUGAUGGGUUGGCCUUGAGCCAACCCAGUGCCGCAGGGAAGCCGUUAAGNCUGCCGCCUGGGGAGUACGGUCGCAAGAUGAANUUAA